ACUCCUACGGGAGGCAGCAGUGGGGAAUAUUGCACAAUGGGCGCAAGCCUGAUGCAGCCAUGCCGCGUGUAUGAAGAAGGCCUUCGGGUUGUAAAGUACUUUCAGCAGUGAGGAAGGCGGGUACGUUAAUAGCGUGCUCGUUUGACGUUAGCUGCAGAAGAAGCACCGGCUAACUCCGUGCCAGCAGCCGCGGUAAUACGGAGGGUGCGAGCGUUAAUCGGAAUUACUGGGCGUAAAGCGCAUGCAGGUGGUUUGUUAAGUCAGAUGUGAAAGCCCGGGGCUCAACCUCGGAAUUGCAUUUGAAACUGGCAGACUAGAGUCUUGUAGAGGGGGGUAGAAUUUCAGGUGUAGCGGUGAAAUGCGUAGAGAUCUGAAGGAAUACCAGUGGCGAAGGCGGCCCCCUGGACAAAGACUGACGCUCAGAUGCGAAAAGCGUGGGGAGCAAACAGGAUUAGAUACCCUGGUAGGAUAGCG
RNAcentral lists this ribosomal RNA (474 nucleotides) under uncultured bacterium. RNAcentral describes it as "bacterial SSU rRNA". It matches the Rfam family "Bacterial small subunit ribosomal RNA", at positions 335 to 799 of the family's 1533-position model. The record is from RNAcentral.